This 264-nucleotide ribosomal RNA is filed under the name uncultured archaeon. Its description in RNAcentral is "partial 16S ribosomal RNA". It matches the Rfam family "Archaeal small subunit ribosomal RNA", at positions 718 to 982 of the family's 1478-position model. The record is from RNAcentral.
AGUCACUGACAUUAGAUACCCCCGUAGUCCCAGCCGUAAACAAUGUGCGUUAGGUGUGUCGGUAACCACGCGUUACUGAUGCGCCGAAGAGAAAUCGUGAAACGCACCACCUGGGAAGUACGGUCGCAAGGCUGAAACUUAAAGGAAUUGGCGGGGAGCACCACAACAGGUGGAGCCUGCGGUUUAAUUGGACUCAACGCCGGGAAGCUCACCGGAUAGGACAGCAGAAUGAUUGCCGGGCUGAAGACCCUGCAUGACUAGCUG